GUCCACGCCCUAAACGAUGUCAACUGGUUGUUGGGAAUUUAUUUCUCAGUAACGAAGCUAACGCGUGAAGUUGACCGCCUGGGGAGUACGGCCGCAAGGUUAAACUCAAAGGAAUUGACGGGACCCGCACAAGCGGUGGAUGAUGUUCUUUAAUUCGAUGCAACGCGAAAACCUUACCCACCUUUGACAUGUAUGGAAUCCUUUAGAGAUGAAGGAGUGCUCGAAAGAGAGCCAUAACACAGGUGCUGCAUGGCUGUCGU
Molecule: ribosomal RNA, 260 nt
Filed under: uncultured bacterium
Lineage: Bacteria
Description: partial 16S ribosomal RNA
Rfam family: Bacterial small subunit ribosomal RNA
Source: RNAcentral